GUGACAAAGCCUCCUGUUGACCUUCUGACACCGGGUCACAAGGAGGAUCGUCUUCUGGGCCUCAGUCGGCUGCGGGUAGCCAGACCUCACGUAAGGGAGGUGCUGCGUGAACAGCUCAACCCCGUGUGACACAGGAUUCUUUGCCUCAAUCCCUGAGAUUCAUGGUCUCGCUGCUUCGAAGAAUGAAGAGAUGCACACUGAAGGAGCAGUGGGCAGAGGUUAUUAGGGCGUAAGAUCAGAAGGUGGAUGCCCACGCUUGAAGACAGGAGGUGGCCUGGGAGUGUCGUCUAGCUGGGCACCGUCACAGGAGAGAGAAACGCCUAUACUCUUGCAACCGAGAAGGCGACAAGAAUCCCAGCACAGGACCCCAGGGUUCACGAGAAUUACUGAAUGAAGACAGGCCUGUGAUCAUCUUCCACUCUCGUUGCCUCCUCUGCGGUCUCUGCGGGU
This is a long non-coding RNA of Suricata suricatta (meerkat), 450 nucleotides long. RefSeq lists it as uncharacterized. NCBI's taxonomy places the organism in Eukaryota, Metazoa, Chordata, Mammalia, Carnivora, Herpestidae. The record is from RefSeq and is a predicted model, not a curated record. The transcript is spliced from 4 exons.